UGAACGCCCCUCCCGUAGGUCAUCGUGCAGCGCUGCCUGGCCGGGAAGAGCCUGACCCACAUCAAGGCGGGCUGCAUCCUGUGUGGGUACCUGAAGCUGACGCCCAUGUUUCUCAUGGUCAUGCCAGGCAUGAUCAGCCGCAUUCUGUACCCAGACGAGGUGGCGUGCGUGGUGCCUGAGGUGUGCAGGCGCGUGUGCGGCACGGAGGUGGGCUGCUCCAACAUCGCCUACCCGCGGCUCGUCGUGAAGCUCAUGCCCAACGGUAAGGGCAGCCCCGGGCCACAGGCGCAAGCUCGCUGUGGAGCCCGCUGCUGGGAGGGGUCGUCCCUCGCGCAGCUGCAGCCGCCCUGGACCCCCAGUGGCCCCAGCCUCACGGCUGCCGUCGGCCCGCAGGUCUGCGCGGACUCAUGCUGGCGGUCAUGCUGGCCGCGCUCAUGUCCUCGCUGGCCUCCAUCUUCAACAGCAGCAGCACGCUCUUCACCAUGGACAUCUACACGCGCCUGCGGCCACGCGCCGGCGACCGCGAGCUGCUGCUGGUGGGACGGUGCGGCCUGGGCUCCCCUCCUCCCCAACGGAUCAGCCCGGGGCGGGGGCUUGCGCACCUGCAGGGGAGCCCAGGGUCCGGGUUCGAUCCGACGGCCUCCGCCGCAGGCUCUGGGUGGUGUUCAUCGUGGUAGUGUCGGUGGCCUGGCUUCCCGUGGUGCAGGCGGCACAGGGCGGGCAGCUCUUCGAUUACAUCCAGGCAGUCUCUAGCUACCUGGCACCGCCCGUGUCCGCCGUCUUCGUGCUGGCGCUCUUCGUGCCGCGCGUUAAUGAGCAGGUGAGCGGCACGCGCGUGGUGACGGCAGGGCUGGGCUUGCACAUCCUCAGCAGGCUGACCUGUUUCCUUCGCAGGGCGCCUUCUGGGGACUCAUCGGGGGCCUGCUGAUGGGCCUGGCACGCCUGAUUCCCGAGUUCUCCUUCGGCUCGGGCAGCUGUGUGCAGCCCUCGGCGUGCCCAGCUUUCCUCUGCGGCGUGCACUACCUCUACUUCGCCAUUGUGCUGUUCUUCUGCUCUGGCCUCCUCACCCUCACGGUCUCCCUGUGCACCGCGCCCAUCCCCCGAAAGCACGUGAGUGGCCAGGUGCCCCAGGCAAGCACUGUGGGACACAGCACCUACCCUCUGCUUCCUGGAGUGCCCAGCUGGGAGGACCUGAAUUUCUCGACUGAGAGUUGGGAAUGGGCUGGGGGUCCAGCUGCAGUUGCAAUUGCAGAGCAAGAAUUUUUAUUUAAAUACAUUUAUUUGAACCGGCCUGGGGGAGGCUUGAUGUUGAUGGGUUGGUGAUUAAAGCCUCCCAAAGCCAAUCCUUGGCAUGGCCUUUGGGACUCAAAACACAGGAUCUGACUGGUGGGCACAAUACCAUCUUGAACGCCCACAAAAAGGUUUGGUUUUGUUGCCAAAGGGCAGGUGGCUCCAGGCAGGGCUGAUGGUGGCAGGGUGGGGUGAGGACAGGACAAGAGAUCUGGGUGUGGAAGGAUGGCCGGGUUUCUGCAGCAGCAGGAGGAAAGGGUGGGAGCACACAGGCACAGAACACUGUGAGCAGGACUGCCAGGCCAGUGUCACAAGCGCUACCAUCUGGGUGUAGACAGACCUGAGCUGAUAAAGCUGGGGGAGCAAGGCCAACGGCUUUAAACACAAGCUCAGGGGCUUGGGGUUUAUCCCGAGGGCACAGGGCAGCCAUGUAGGGUGGAGUUGGCAUGAGUUGAGCCUGGGCUGGGUGUGUAGACUGGACAGAGGUGGGUAGGGCAGGCAGUGACGAGCUGGUGUGCAAGAGACUUUAGGGCCAGGCAUGGGGGGACAGAACUCCCACCUCGUUCGUGCUCCCACCCUCCCCAGCUCCACCGCCUGGUCUUCAGUCUCCGGCACAGCAAGGAGGAACGGGAGGACCUGGAUGCUGAUGAGCAGCAAGGCUCCUCAUUCCCUGUACAGAAUGGGUGCCCAGAGAGUGCCAUGGAGACGAAUGGUAGGGCACCAUGCUGGGAGGUGGGGCUGGAGAAGCUGAGUUCCCGCAAACUAACUGCAGGGCCUCAAUUUCCCUCAGAGCCCCAGGCCCUGGCACCAAGCCUCUUCCGCCAGUGCCUGCUCUGGUUUUGUGGAAUGAGCAGAGGUGGGGUGGGCAGUCCUCCGCCCCUUACCCAGGAGGAGGCAGCGGCAGCAGCCAGGCGGCUGGAGGACAUCAGCGAGGACCCGAGCUGGGCCCGUGUGGUCAACCUCAAUGCCCUGCUCAUGAUGGCAGUGGCCGUGUUCCUCUGGGGCUUCUAUGCCUAAGACCAACUGCGUUGGACACCAUAAGCCACAGCCUCACAGGAAGUGGGGGUGAGGAGCCUGCGGUGCUCCCCAGAAAAGGGGAAGGGGCAGUGGGGUGAGAAGGUCCUGGCUCCCCUUCUCCCGGCCUUCCUCUGCCUGGGGCCCACUGCAUCUGAUUGGCAGUCACUUCCCAUGAGGGCCUGGCCCACCCACUGCAGUUGCCCUAAGGAAAAAUAAAGCUGCCUUUCCCCUGUC
This 2541-nucleotide small RNA is filed under the name Pan troglodytes (chimpanzee). RNAcentral's name for it is "retained intron". Lineage: Eukaryota; Metazoa; Chordata; Mammalia; Primates; Hominidae. The record is from RNAcentral.